AGAGUUUGAUCCUGGCUCAGAAUCAACGCUGGCGGCGUGCCUAACACAUGCAAGUCGAACGAGAAAGUGGGGGCAACUCCAUGAGUAAAGUGGCAGACGGGUGAGUAACACGUGAACAACCUACCCUCGAGUGGGGAAUAACACCGCGAAAGCGGUGCUAAUACCGCAUAACAUCUUCAGAUUGCAUGAUCUGGAGAUCAAAAGCGCAAGUUGCUUGAGGAGGGGUUCGCGCCUGAUUAGCUAGUUGGUGAGGUAACGGCCCACCAAGGCAACGAUCAGUAGCCGGCCUGAGAGGGCGAACGGCCACACUGGAACUGAGACACGGUCCAGACUCCUACGGGAGGCAGCAGUGGGGAAUUUUGCGCAAUGGGCGAAAGCCUGACGCAGCAACGCCGCGUGGAGGAUGAAGGCCUUCGGGUCGUAAACUCCUGUCAGUGGGGACGAAUGCUUCGCAAGAAGUUUGACUGUACCCGCUGAGGAAGCCACGGCUAACUCCGUGCCAGCAGCCGCGGUAAUACGGAGGUGGCAAGCGUUGUUCGGAAUUACUGGGCGUAAAGGGCGCGUAGGCGGCUUUGCAAGUCAGAUGUGAAAGCCCCGGGCUUAACCCGGGAAUUGCAUCUGAAACUGCUUUGCUUGAGUCCUGGAUGGGAUAGUGGAAUUCCCAGUGUAGCGGUGAAAUGCGUAGAUAUUGGGAGGAACACCUGCGGCGAAGGCGGCUAUCUGGACAGUGACUGACGCUGAGGCGCGAAAGCUAGGGGAGCGAACGGGAUUAGAUACCCUGGUAGUC
This 787-nucleotide ribosomal RNA is filed under the name uncultured bacterium. RNAcentral's name for it is "bacterial SSU rRNA". It matches the Rfam family "Bacterial small subunit ribosomal RNA", at positions 8 to 795 of the family's 1533-position model. The record is from RNAcentral.